UACGUAGGGGGCGAGCGUUGUCCGGAAUGAUUGGGCGUAAAGGGCGUGUAAGCGGUUUUUUAGGUCUGGAGUGAAAGUCCCGUUUUCAAGAUGGGAAUUGCUUUGGAAACUGGAGAACUUGAGUGCAGGAGAGGUUAUCGGAAUUCCCGGUGUAGCGGUGAAAUGCGUAGAGAUCGGGAGGAACACCAGUGGCGAAGGCGGGUAACUGGACUGCAACUGACGCUGAGGCGCGAAAGUGUGGGGAGCAAAC
RNAcentral lists this ribosomal RNA (250 nucleotides) under uncultured prokaryote. RNAcentral's name for it is "partial 16S ribosomal RNA". It matches the Rfam family "Bacterial small subunit ribosomal RNA", at positions 524 to 773 of the family's 1533-position model. The record is from RNAcentral.